AAGCGGAGGAGCAUGUGGUUUAAUUCGAUGAUACGCGAGGAACCUUACCUGGGCUCGAACGUAAGAUGACUGUAGGUGAAAGCUUACAUCUCUUCGGAGCAUUUUACGAGGUGCUGCAUGGUUGCCGUCAGCUCGUGCCGUGAGGUGUCGGGUUAAGUCCCAUAACGAGCGCAACCCCUACCUUUAGUUGCCAUCAGGUUAAGCUGGGGACUCUAAAGGAACUGCCUACGCAAGUAGUGAGGAAGCGGGGAUGACGUCAAAUCAGCACGGCCCUUACGUCCAGGGCUACACACGUGCUACAAUGGCCGAUACAGAGGGCAGCUACCUGGUGACAGGAUGCAAAUCUCCAAAGUCGGUCUCAGUUCGGAUCGGAGUCUGCAACCCGACUCCGUGAAGUUGGAUUCGCUAGUAAUCGCGCAUCAGCCAUGGCGCGGUGAAUACGUUCCCGGGCCUU
RNAcentral lists this ribosomal RNA (454 nucleotides) under uncultured Sphingobacteriales bacterium. RNAcentral's name for it is "bacterial SSU rRNA". It matches the Rfam family "Bacterial small subunit ribosomal RNA", at positions 927 to 1382 of the family's 1533-position model. Lineage: Bacteria; Pseudomonadati; Bacteroidota; Sphingobacteriia; Sphingobacteriales. The record is from RNAcentral.